Oryctolagus cuniculus (rabbit) is the source of this 2104-nucleotide non-coding RNA. Lineage: Eukaryota; Metazoa; Chordata; Mammalia; Lagomorpha; Leporidae. The record is from RefSeq and is a predicted model, not a curated record.
CCGGGGCAGAGGUCGACUUCUUUUCCGGGGACCUCCUCUGAAGCUGGUGAAGCAAGCCGUGCGUGGGAGCUGCUUGGCUUUCAUUCCGCACCUCUCGGUGCCUGUGUGUGACAAGUCCUUCAGCGCGGGGCGGGGGGCCGAAAUGGGUGCAUCAGCAGGAGCCAGAUCAGAAGUGGAGCAGCCAGGAUUCGAACCAGCACUCACACGGGAUGUUGAUGCUGCAGGCUGCAGCUUAACCUGCUGUGCUACAAGGUUGGCCCCUCAGUUCAGUCUUAAAGGAUGUGGAAAUUGAAGGACAGAAAGGUGAAGAGAUUGGCCCAAGAUCUCGCAGCUAAUGAGGAGGGAUUGGACGUGAGAGCCAGAGCAUAUACUCCAUGAGGUCAGCAGCAGUGUUGUCUGGUUUGUGGCUGAACCCCAACCAUGUAAACCAGUGCCUGGCACACAAUACUCGGUGUCCUGACGGUGCCUACUCAUUGCACAGAUUCUGAGGAUUCGAUUUUCUGCUGCAGCUUUAUCUCAGAUAUUUCUGACUGUGUUGGAACAAGGAAACCAGCGCUGAAGUUGAACUACAGGCGUUCAGUGACAAUCACUCAGAAAGACUUCUCUAGGGUGCUUGAUGCAGUCCAUGUGUGCUUCCAGCUCCAUUGCUACAGGGCAAGACUCAGAAUUUAAUGGAAACCAUUGCACUGUUUGACGGUUGGAGCUCAUCUGACAUGUUUGCUUUGAGAAGCCUCAGCCCCCAGCAUCGAGUGGUCACCUACAGCACGUUCAGUCGCCCUGACAGCACCGGAGAGGAAUGCAGAGGUCGGAGCAAGAUGUGGAAUCCGUACUGUGCACGUACACGGAAGCCUCCAAAGUUUCAGACAACAAUGGAAUGAAAAGGCAAGUUUAUUUGGGUACGUAAACUUUUGAAAUCAAUGCAUUAUUUUUUUCAUAAUAUAAUUCAUGAGAAACUUUUAAAGACUCCUUCUAUGACUUUUACAUUUUUUGCACUAAAAUAAUCUUACCUUUUCUUUUUUUUUUUUUAAAAAAAAAGUGUAUUUAUAUAUUUGAAAGGCAGAGUUACAGAGAAUGAGGGAGAGAUAAAUAGAAAAAGAGAGCGAGAGAGCGAGAGAGUGAGUUUCCAUCCCCUGGUUCACUACCCAAAUGUCUACAACAACCAGAGCUAUACCAGAUUGAAGCCAGGAGCCCAGAACUCCAUCUAGGUCUCCCAUGUGGGUGGCAGAAGCCCGCAUACUUGGGCCAUCUUCCUCUACUUUUCCAGACACAUUGGCAGGGGGCUGGAUUGGAUGGAGAGCAAUCAGGGCUUGAACUGGUGCUCACAUAGGAUGCUAGUGGAGGCCCAACCCACUGUGCCACAACACUGGCCCCCUGAAUUUACCUUUUCAUUCUAUUUUUCCAUGAACUCUGAUUAUCCUUGGGAAAGGAGGCCCAGAGAAAAGAGUUCAGGAUGUAGGUAGGUGCAAAAUGACUGUACAAUCCAUUUCCAUGCGUUAAACAAUUUCUUUCCAUACAUUAAGUACUUAUAAGCACCCAAAUACCUCUCCCGGCUGCAAGGUGUUCCCAGAGCAGUUUUGGUCUCCUGGCAUGUACUGUCAGGAAGAUCCUGUGGGCUCAUUUCUGUGAACUGUCCAACUUAUCUACAGCCGUAUCUCAAAUCUCACCUGUGCCGCCGCUGGACCUCUUCCCUUCGCUUUCCUUCUGCUGCUGGCUUUAGAGCUGAAUUGAAUUUGUUCAUCAGCAGAGGUCUUUCCAUCACUGAAUUCCUUAGGAAGGUCCAACACUGGGUGUUCAUUCCUCUGAUGAGCAGAUUUUGAGGAUCAACUGGAUGUGACCUGCAGGUGCUUUGCAGCCCUGGAUCCUGGCUGCAAGGGAGUUGCCGUGCAUGGUGCCCCUGGCUCUGUCUCAGGAUGCAGUGCAAUUCUGAGAAAGGCAGCGGAAGCAGGGAGCCAUCUUGUUUUUCAAAAUGAUAUCUCAGUUUUACUUAGUUUGGCCAGAGUAAGAACAGUAAGCACACCACUGGGAUGCCUUUUGGAAGGACAAACGCUACCUUUAAGGACUCAGGCAGUGGUCUGUGUUGAGAGAGAUUUGUGGCACCUUGGGA